AUGGGAGGGGCGGGAGCCUCACCUGUUCUGAAGCCUGGUCUAUGCUGCCAUCUUGUGUCCACAGCAGGAAGUGCGCCCGUUUCGCCGCUCGGAGCAAGUUCCCGAGUUCACACUCGGGUUGAGCGGGAACUGAGCCCUGCGCUCCAUCUCCUCCAGACACAGGAAGCAACAAGGAAUGACAACCAGAAACUUAGAAGGACAGAGGGAAAAUUAUAUUUUCCUCCCCUACAAGACUUUGGGGAAGAAAGCUGUGUGACUGUCUGGGGAGAAGCUUCCAGAUCCCAAAGUGGGAGCAUUUCUGGCAUGUUCUAGCCCAGCAAGGGAGCUGGGGUGGCUGGAGUGGAGGGCCGAGGGUUGCAGAGUUGAUAUGAGCUGGGAGAGGUGACGGAGGUUGAUACAGGCAACCUCAUAGAACAUGUGAAGACCAGCUUUUACUUUUGAGCAGAAGAGCAUCACAACGGGACUUCCAUUUUAAGGUGCUUUCUCAGGCUGCUGUGUGGGGACCAGACACCAGGGAUAUGUGCACAGAGCCCAGAGUUUCCUAAAGACUGGAUAUGGGGUGGGAGAGAAGAGACUAGUCAGGAUGCUGUCUCCAUGGGGAUGGAGUUGCCAUCAGCCAAGACAGGGUGGCUAUGGCAGGGGUAAUCUUGGUGGGGAGGGGAGAUCUCAAUCUAGGGCAGGCUGAGUUUGGGAUGUUUAAUAAACAUCAUAGAGAGGAUAACAAGUGAAUUAAUUUCAGUCCACUGGGUAACCAUGUGUGUGUGCGUUUGUAUGUAUGUGGGUUUUACUUUGGGAAGAUACACAAGCCAUAAAAUUUACCAUUUUAAUCAUUUUAAAAUAUAUUCUUUGAUGGCAUUAAAUAGAUUCACAUUGUUGUUUUACAACCAUCAUCCAUCAGCAUUAUCCUCAUAACAAUCCAUCUCCAGUAACUUUCAUCUUCCCAAACUGAAACUCUGUACCCAUUAAAAAAUAACUCCACGUUCUCCCUUCCCCCAGCCCCUGGCAACUGCCAUUCUACUUCUACAAAAUUGCCUAUUCUGUGUAUUCAUAUACAUGGAAGCAUCCGAUAUUUGUUCUUUUGUGUCUGGUUUAUUUCAUUUAGCAUAAUGUCUUCAAGGCUCAUUCAUGCUGUAACGUGAGUCAGAAUUUCAUUCCUUUUUUUAAGGCAGGGUAAUAUUCUAUUAUAUAGAUAUUCCACAUUUUGUUUAUCCGUUCAUCCACCAGUGAACAUGUGGGGUUUUUUCAGCUUUUGGCUAAUUGUGAAUAAUGCUGCUAUGAACAUUGGUAUACGUCUGUUCUCGACUCUCCUUUUAAUGCUUUUGGAUUGGUACCCAGAAGUGGAAUUAUGAGUCAUAUGGUGAGUCUAUGUUUAGCUUUUGCUAUGAGGAACUGCUGCACUGUUUCCCAUUCUUGUGUGAUUUUUCCCACUUAUCCACAGGAGGGACUGAGAAUCAGAGAGGGGAAGGGACUUACAGGAGGUAGGGAUCCCUGAGCCCAAGUUCUCUUGAUUACUGUGACUCUGACACCCCUACUAGAGAGAGACUUGGAAACAGAAACUCAUGGAAGCUGAACUGAACCAAGGUGCAAACUUGGAAGCCAUCUUCAUAGAGCGGGUGGGGAAGCAGAAGAGAGGAAUGUGAGACCCAUGAGA
Molecule: long non-coding RNA, 1651 nt
Filed under: Capra hircus (goat)
Lineage: Eukaryota; Metazoa; Chordata; Mammalia; Artiodactyla; Bovidae
Description: lncRNA (ENSCHIG00010015669.1)
Source: RNAcentral